RNAcentral lists this unclassified non-coding RNA (358 nucleotides) under soil metagenome. RNAcentral describes it as "partial contains 5.8S ribosomal RNA, internal transcribed spacer 2, and large subunit ribosomal RNA". The stretch from base 1 to 120 matches the Rfam family "5.8S ribosomal RNA", at positions 35 to 154 of the family's 154-position model. The record is from RNAcentral.
GAUGAAGAACGUAGCGAAAUGCGAUAAGUAAUGUGAAUUGCAGAAUUCAGUGAAUCAUCGAAUCUUUGAACGCACAUUGCGCCCGCUAGUAUUCUGGCGGGCAUGCCUGUCCGAGCGUCAUUUCAACCCUCGGGAGCCCCUUUGCGGGGGCUGCCGGUGUUGGGGAUCGCCCGCCGCCAUGGUGGACGUCCCCUAAAACGAUUGGCGGUCUCGCUGUAGCCUCCUCUGCGCAGUAGCACUUGUUCUCGCAGGCGGAGCGCGGCGCGGCCAAGCCGUUAAACCCCCAACUUUUUUACUAGGUUGACCUUGGAUCAGGUAGGAAUACCCGCUGAACUUAAGCAUAUCAAUAAGCGGAGGA